AGCUCUCCGAGUGGUGUGGAUGUUUAUUGGGCCUAAAGCAUCCGUAGCUGGCCAGGCCAGUCCCUUGUUAAACCCACCGAAUUAAUCGUUGGAUUGCGGGGGGAUACUGCCCGGCUAGGGGGCGAGAGAGGCAGACGGUAUUCUCGGGGUAGGGGUGAAAUCCUAUAAUCCCGGGAAGACCACCAGUGGCGAAGGCUGUCUGCUAGAACGAGCCCGACGGUGAGGGAUGAAAGCUGGGGGAGCGAACC
Molecule: ribosomal RNA, 248 nt
Filed under: uncultured crenarchaeote
Lineage: Archaea; Thermoproteati; Thermoproteota
Description: partial 16S ribosomal RNA
Rfam family: Archaeal small subunit ribosomal RNA
Source: RNAcentral